UACGGGGGGGGCAAGCGUUGUUCGGAAUCACUGGGCUUAAAGGGUGCGUAGGCGGCCUUCCAGGUCCGGUGUGAAAUCUCACGGCUCAACCGUGAAAUGGCGCUGGAAACCGGAAGGCUUGAGUGUGCUAGGGGUGUGUGGAACUUCCAGUGGAGCGGUGAAAUGUGUUGAUAUUGGAAGGAACGCCGGUGGCGAAAGCGACACACUGGGGCACAACUGACGCUGAGGCACGAAAGCUAGGGUAGCGAACCGG
RNAcentral lists this ribosomal RNA (253 nucleotides) under uncultured bacterium. Its description in RNAcentral is "partial 16S ribosomal RNA". It matches the Rfam family "Bacterial small subunit ribosomal RNA", at positions 524 to 776 of the family's 1533-position model. The record is from RNAcentral.